Molecule: long non-coding RNA, 666 nt
Filed under: Marmota monax (woodchuck)
Lineage: Eukaryota; Metazoa; Chordata; Mammalia; Rodentia; Sciuridae
Source: RNAcentral
CAUAAUUACUCCCAUAUAUUUCUUGUAUUUCCCUCUAUACUGUUGUCGUGGCAUUGACACUAGUAUUAUUUUACAAAACAAAUUGAAAAAGAUAUUGGCAAGCAUAGUUUAUAAACCAUUCAGUAGGAUGAUAUUCUCUUGGUUGUUUUUCAUUGUUGUGUGUAAUCUUUUUUUUUUCUUUUUUUUUCUUUUAUUUUUUAAGAAAGAGCAUGAAUCUGUUGACAGAUUUUGAGUCUCAACCAACUAGCAGAAAUUUUGUUUAGGGUUGCUAAAAGACUGUAAUAUGAUUUUUGAACUAGCUGAUAAUAAAGUUGUAGAUAAGAUGUUUUAACCUGUCUUUUAAUAUCUGUUAGUUAGAUAAAGAUGUUCGAUAUUAAGUUUGUAAAUUUAAUUUUAAAUGCUGUUUUAAUGGGGUUGAAAACAAGCAGCUACUGUAUGUAUGUAGCUAACUGAAUUUGUUCAGUGUUUUAACCUGUAUUUGUUAAAAAAGAAAAAAAAACACACAUAAAGUUCCAUGUGUAAGCUUCUCUAAAUAGGAAACCACAAUUUGUCAAAUAUGUUUGCCAUAAUUUGUCAAUAAAGCUGAAAACUUUUGUAAAAACUAAAUUUGGAAUUACUUGUUUUCUAGCUUUAAAUGCCUGCUUUAUUUCUUCUUCAAGAGAUGCC